RNAcentral lists this microRNA (21 nucleotides) under Gallus gallus (chicken). RNAcentral describes it as "gga-miR-12209-3p". Lineage: Eukaryota; Metazoa; Chordata; Aves; Galliformes; Phasianidae. The record is from miRBase by way of RNAcentral.
UCGUGACCUUCUCUUUGUAUU